CGUGCAMMGGUAGCAUVVKNCAUUUGYUCUUUUARUAAGGAMUUGUAUCWACGGCAUCACGAGGGUUAUVCUGUCUCCCCCCCCCAAUCAGUGAAACUGACCUCCCCGUGAAGAGGCGGGGAUUAGUCUACAAGACGAGAAGCCCCAUGGAGCUUUAAACCCAAUGAUAACCUCUCUCUAAGUACCCCUUAAAGAUAUAGAGGGCACUAUAAAUUGGUUUUAGGUUGGGGUGACCGUGGAGUAAAACAAAACCUCCUUGACGAAUAGGAACCAUCCUAAUCUAAGAGCUACUGCUCUAAGAAUCAAGAACUUGACGUAAAAUGAUCCGKCAACCGAUCAACGAACCAAGUU
This 351-nucleotide ribosomal RNA is filed under the name Limnonectes ibanorum (rough-backed river frog). Its description in RNAcentral is "partial large subunit ribosomal RNA". The record is from RNAcentral. Lineage: Eukaryota; Metazoa; Chordata; Amphibia; Anura; Dicroglossidae.